UGGGGAAUCUUGCGCAAUGGGGGAAACCCUGACGCAGCGACGCCGCGUGCGGGAUGAAGGCCUUCGGGUUGUAAACCGCUUUCAGCAGGGACGAGGCCUUAUGGUGACGGUACCUGCAGAAGAAGCUCCGGCUAAAUACGUGCCAGCAGCCGCGGUAAUACGUAUGGAGCAAGCGUUAUCCGGAUUCAUUGGGCGUAAAGCGCUCGUAGGCGGUCUGUUAGGUCGGCAAGUUAAAUCCGGGGGCUCAACCCCCGUCCGCUUCCGAUACCGGCAGACUUGAGUUUGGUAGGGGAAGGUGGAAUUCCUAGUGUAGCGGUGAAAUGCGUAGAUAUUGGGAGGAACACCAGUAGCGAAGGCGGCUUUCUGGACUGCAACUGACACUGAGGCACGAAAGCGUGGGUAGCAAACAGG
This 411-nucleotide ribosomal RNA is filed under the name Verrucomicrobiota bacterium. RNAcentral's name for it is "Verrucomicrobia bacterium partial 16S ribosomal RNA". It matches the Rfam family "Bacterial small subunit ribosomal RNA", at positions 355 to 776 of the family's 1533-position model. The record is from RNAcentral. Lineage: Bacteria; Pseudomonadati; Verrucomicrobiota.